This 687-nucleotide ribosomal RNA is filed under the name uncultured bacterium. RNAcentral describes it as "bacterial SSU rRNA". It matches the Rfam family "Bacterial small subunit ribosomal RNA", at positions 126 to 812 of the family's 1533-position model. The record is from RNAcentral.
CUGCCGAUGACUCGGGGAUAGCCUUUCGAAAGAAAGAUUAAUACCCGAUGGCAUAGUUCUUCCGCAUGGUAGAACUAUUAAAGAAUUUCGGUCAUCGAUGGGGAUGCGUUCCAUUAGCUUGUUGGCGGGGUAACGGCCCACCAAGGCAUCGAUGGAUAGGGGUUCUGAGAGGAAGGUCCCCCACAUUGGAACUGAGACACGGUCCAAACUCCUACGGGAGGCAGCAGUGAGGAAUAUUGGUCAAUGGGCGCUAGCCUGAACCAGCCAAGUAGCGUGAAGGAUGACUGCCCUAUGGGUUGUAAACUUCUUUUAUAUGGGAAUAAAGUGCAGUAUGUAUACUGCUUUGCAUGUACCUUAUGAAUAAGGAUCGGCUAACUCCGUGCCAGCAGCCGCGGUAAUACGGAGGAUCCGAGCGUUAUCCGGAUUUAUUGGGUUUAAAGGGAGCGUAGGCGGGUUGUUAAGUCAGUUGUGAAAGUUUGCGGCUCAACCGUAAAAUUGCAGUUGAUACUGGCAUCCUUGAGUACAGUAGAGGUAGGCGGAAUUCGUGGUGUAGCGGUGAAAUGCUUAGAUAUCACGAAGAACUCCGAUUGCGAAGGCAGCCUGCUGGACUGUAACUGACGCUGAUGCUCGAAAGUGUGGGUAUCAAACAGGAUUAGAUACCCUGGUAGUCCACACAGUAAACGAAGA